GACGUAGGGCGCGAGCGUUGUCCGAAUUUAUUGGGCGUAAAGAGCUCGUAGGCGGCUUGUCGCGUCGACUGUGAAAUCCCGCGGCUCAACUGCGGGUCUGCAGUCGAUACGGGCAGGCUAGAGUUCGGUAGGGGAGACUGGAAUUCCUGGUGUAGCGGUGAAAUGCGCAGAUAUCAGGAGGAACACCGGUGGCGAAGGCGGGUCUCUGGGCCGAUACUGACGCUGAGGAGCGAAAGCGUGGGGAGCGAACAGG
RNAcentral lists this ribosomal RNA (253 nucleotides) under uncultured bacterium. RNAcentral describes it as "partial 16S ribosomal RNA". It matches the Rfam family "Bacterial small subunit ribosomal RNA", at positions 524 to 776 of the family's 1533-position model. The record is from RNAcentral.